Molecule: small RNA, 45 nt
Filed under: Hoylesella marshii DSM 16973 = JCM 13450
Lineage: Bacteria; Pseudomonadati; Bacteroidota; Bacteroidia; Bacteroidales; Prevotellaceae
Description: Prevotella marshii DSM 16973 Acido-Lenti-1 RNA
Rfam family: Acido-Lenti-1 RNA
Source: Rfam by way of RNAcentral
CCCAGCGCUAUGCGCUGGGCUGACAUGUUACGCUCUUGCAGAGCU